CCUACGGGGGGCAGCAGUGGGGGAUAUUGCACAAUGGGGGGAACCCUGAUGCAGCGACGCCGCGUGGGUGAAGGAGCGUUUCGGCGCGUAAAGCCCUAUCGGCAGGGAAGAAGAAGGACGGUACCUGACUAAGAAGCCCCGGCUAACUACGUGCCAGCAGCCGCGGUAAUACGUAGGGGGCAAGCGUUAUCCGGAUUUACUGGGUGUAAAGGGGGCGCAGACGGCAGCGCAAGCCAGGAGUGAAAGCCCGGGGCCCAACCCCGGGACUGCUCUUGGAACUGCGUGGCUGGAGUGCAGGAGGGGCAGGCGGAAUUCCUGGUGUAGCGGUGAAAUGCUUAGAGAUCAUACAGAACACCGAUUGCGAAGGCAGCUUACCAAGCUACUUCUGACGUUGAGGCACGAAAGCGUGGGGAGCAAACAGGAUUAGAUACCCCUGUAGUC
Molecule: ribosomal RNA, 441 nt
Filed under: uncultured bacterium
Lineage: Bacteria
Description: partial 16S ribosomal RNA
Rfam family: Bacterial small subunit ribosomal RNA
Source: RNAcentral